Molecule: ribosomal RNA, 248 nt
Filed under: uncultured bacterium
Lineage: Bacteria
Description: partial 16S ribosomal RNA
Rfam family: Bacterial small subunit ribosomal RNA
Source: RNAcentral
GACAGAGGGUGCGAACGUUGUUCGGAAUUACUGGGCGUAAAGCGCAUGUAGGCGGCAGCGCAAGUCGGGCGUGAAAUCCCACGGCUCAACCGUGGAAGUGCACUCGAAACUGCGCAGCUAGAGUCCUGGAGAGGAAGGUGGAAUGCUUGGUGUAGAGGUGAAAUUCGUAGAUAUUCGCAAGAACACCGGUGGCGAAGGCGGCUACCUGGACCGGUUCUGACGCUGAUGCGCGAAAGCGUGGGGAGCAA